UGGACGCUGGGGAUGCAGCCACCUAGUUUCUGAAACUGGGAAAAGGUCUGGGGGCUCCGGAGCCCCCACCUCCAUGCAGCCUCAGAUGUUGCUUAGCAACAGAUGCGCGCUCUGGGGCAGCUGCAGGGGCUCAGGACCUACGGAGUGCAAGUGAAGACACCUAUGUUGCAUCUUGCUGGAGAGGCACCUGGCACCUGCCCGCCCCAGCGUGCCUGGAGGGUUCCCACAUCCAGACGGACAGACGGGCCAGGGGACACCCGUCCAGGCAGCCAUGGCUGCUCAGCCACAGUCCCUGGAGGGUCAGGGGCCCAGCUGUGAGGCAGGCGGUGCCCAAGACGCUCUCUGGACCGCACUGCUUCAUCUGAGAGAAAGACUUUUGGAAGGCAUAGGUUGGGGCUCGCCUGGGAACCCCUCUCCAUCCCCCACCCAGACUCCAGCAGGC
RNAcentral lists this long non-coding RNA (442 nucleotides) under Homo sapiens (human). Its description in RNAcentral is "HSALNT0254197". The record is from RNAcentral. Lineage: Eukaryota; Metazoa; Chordata; Mammalia; Primates; Hominidae.